This 1202-nucleotide ribosomal RNA is filed under the name uncultured Chloroflexota bacterium. RNAcentral's name for it is "uncultured Chloroflexi bacterium partial 16S ribosomal RNA". It matches the Rfam family "Bacterial small subunit ribosomal RNA", at positions 28 to 1399 of the family's 1533-position model. Lineage: Bacteria; Bacillati; Chloroflexota. The record is from RNAcentral.
GAUAAACGCUGGCGGCGUGCCUAAUGCAUGCAAGUCGAACGGAGUGGCAAACGGGUGAGUAACACGUGGGAAUCUGCCCAGAGGUGGGGAAUAACUCUCUGAAAGGAGAGCUAAUACCGCAUAAGGUUGGAGGAGCCUGCGGCUGAUUAGCUAGUUGGUGGGGUAAAAGCCUACCAAGGCGAUGAUCAGUAGCUGGUYUKAGAGGAUGGACAGCCACMUNGGGAYUGAGAUACGGCCNAGACUYCUACGGGAGGCAGCAGCCAGGAWUUUUCGGCAAUGGGGNCAACCCUGACCGAGCAACGCCGCGUGGGSGAAGAAAKUCUUCGGGAUGUAAAGCCYUUUUCUCMCCGAAGCGGUAGGUGAGGGAUAAGCAUCGGCUAACUACGUGCCAGCAGCCGCGGUWAUACGUAGGACGCAAGCGUUGUCCGGAAUUACUGGGCGUAAAGGGCGCGCAGGCGGUUCUUCAAGUCAGAUGUGAAAGCCCCCGGCUUAACCGGGGAGGGUCAUUUGAAACUGAAGGACUAGAGUGCAGUAGAGGCUAACGGAAUUCCCGGUGUAGUGGUGAAAUGCGUAGAUAUCGGGAGGAACACCAGUGGCGAAGGCGGUUAGCUGGGCUGUAACUGACGCUGAGGCGCGAAGGCUAGGGGAGCAAACAGGAUUAGAUACCCUGGUAGUCCUAGCAGUAAACGAUGGAUACUCGGUGUUGGGCAGUGCCACAGCCAACGUGGUAAGUAUCCCGCCUGGGGAGUACGGUCGCAAGAUUAAAACUCAAAGGAAUUGACGGGGGCCCGCACAAGCAGCGGAGCGUGUGGUUUAAUUCGACGCAACGCGAAGAACCUUACCAGGGCUUGACAUGCARAUGCUGCAUGGCUGUCGUCASCUCSUGUCGUGAGAUGUUGGGUUAAKUCCCGCAACGAGCGCAACCCCUGUUUCUAGUUGAAGUCUARARAGACUGCCGGARAAAACCNGRAGRAAGGUGGGRAURACSUCAAKUCAGCAUGGCUCUUACGUCCUGGGCUACACACACGCUACAAUGGGCGGUACAAAGGGUUGCCAAGCCGCGGGGUGGAGCUAAUCCCAAAAGCCGUUCUCAGUUCGGAUAGCAGGCUGCAACUCGCCUGCUUGAAGUCGGAGUUGCUAGUAACCGUGGGUCAGCACACUACGGUGAAUAUGUUCCCGGGCCUUGCACACACCGCCCGUCA